CUGUAAUGAAAUACCCCAAAUGUCAUUUGUUCCUCUCUGUGCUUCUUUCAAUAUGAGUCUCCAAUGCAACAAGCAACAUUUCUUGUGGAAAAAAAGGUACCUGAAAACUGCUUGGAUUACUGCAGAUGGUGAAAUAAGAAUGAAAGUAAAAGAAAUGAGACAAACAGUGUCUACCAAGAAAGCUCCCGUGGAACUGCUGAAGCACGAAUGGGUGACAUAAGAUGGCAGAAUUGUGGCAGAGCUCUUGGACAGUACUGCCCUACUCUAACCAGUGGCUCUACAGACUCUUCUGUCCAGGUAGUCCCUUUUUCCCUGGGAAAGGUUAGAAACUGCCAAUGCUCCAACACCUUCCUUUGCCAAGAAAUGGUCCCUUGAUGGAACUGAAGCUGCUGUGGCUGCAGGCAGGGGAAGACAAUUCUGCGGGCAUGAGGCUGGCCUGGAAAGUGGAACUUUGGAGGUGGGAGAAUGCCUGUGUUUCGGUCCAAGCUCUGGAGAUGCUGAGACUGUGUUGUCCUGACCUUGUCACGUUCCUUUAUCUUUAUGAGGACUUGCAAAGCCAAUUUAUUCAUCACAGUGCAGUAUACCAGCAGCUGGUUUCAUAUUUAACCAGUAGGAAUUAUUUUGCAGACGUAUCUCCUUUGUCUGCUUAUCAUCUGGAGAAACAAUUGGUGCAUAUACCAAAGUUGACCAGACUUCUUUCUUUACAUUGUGAUACCAGUUGUAUUGCUCAUUGACCCAUAGAGUUACAUUAGGUGCUAUGGAAAUACAUAAUCAAAAUAAUAACAUUUCAAGAUGCACAUUUAAAUAUAUCAUAUAUACUUUUUCAUAGAGAGGGAAGGAAGUUAUUUUGUUUCAUGCUUUCAAUGAUGUAUAUUACUUUUUGUGGCUCAAACCCAUGGAAAAUGAAUAAAACAGAACAAAUGAAAAGGCA
This is a long non-coding RNA of Columba livia (rock pigeon), 931 nucleotides long. RefSeq lists it as uncharacterized. Lineage: Eukaryota; Metazoa; Chordata; Aves; Columbiformes; Columbidae. The transcript has 2 exons. The record is from RefSeq and is a predicted model, not a curated record.